GCUCGUCGGAUUGCCGAACCGUCUUCGCCAACGCGUUCGUUUACCUAGCAAUUUGGUUUACGGAGGGUCAAAUGAGAUCAAACCCUCAUAUUUUGAAAGUUUGCAUUUUUGAGCCCUAAUAUGAAUUAACCUCUAAAUAAUCCAAAUCAAAUGGAGCAAACAUGUUUAGAAUGCUCAUUAGAGGCUAUUAGAACACUUAAA
RNAcentral lists this long non-coding RNA (201 nucleotides) under Ananas comosus (pineapple). RNAcentral's name for it is "long non-coding RNA (ACOM_LNC043938)". Lineage: Eukaryota; Viridiplantae; Streptophyta; Magnoliopsida; Poales; Bromeliaceae. The record is from RNAcentral.